CGGCGGACGGGUGAGUAACACGUGGGUAACCUACCUAUAAGACUGGGACAACUUCGGGAAACCGGAGCUAAUACCGGAUAAGAUAUCGAACCGCAUGGUUCGAUAGUGAAAGAUGGUUUUGCUAUCACUUAUAGAUGGACCCGCGCCGUAUUAGCUAGUUGGUGAGGUAACGGCUCACCAAGGCAACGAUACGUAGCCGACCUGAGAGGGUGAUCGGCCACACUGGAACUGAGACACGGUCCAGACUCCUACGGGAGGCAGCAGAG
Molecule: ribosomal RNA, 266 nt
Filed under: uncultured Staphylococcus sp.
Lineage: Bacteria; Bacillati; Bacillota; Bacilli; Caryophanales; Staphylococcaceae
Description: partial 16S ribosomal RNA
Rfam family: Bacterial small subunit ribosomal RNA
Source: RNAcentral